This 460-nucleotide ribosomal RNA is filed under the name uncultured bacterium. RNAcentral's name for it is "partial 16S ribosomal RNA". It matches the Rfam family "Bacterial small subunit ribosomal RNA", at positions 338 to 795 of the family's 1533-position model. The record is from RNAcentral.
CCUACGGGGGGCAGCAGUGAGGAAUAUUGGUCAAUGGACGAGAGUCUGAACCAGCCAAGUAGCGUGAAGGAUGACUGCCCUGUGGGUUGUAAACUUCUUUUAUAUGGGAAUAAAACGUUCCACGUGUGGGAUUUUGUAUGUACCAUAUGAAUAAGGAUCGGCUAACUCCGUGCCAGCAGCCGCGGUAAUACGGAGGAUCCGAGCGUUAUCCGGAUUUAUUGGGUUUAAAGGGAGCGUAGGUGGAUUGUUAAGUCAGUUGUGAAAGUUUGCGGCUCAACCGUAAAAUUGCAGUUGAAACUGGCAGUCUUGAGUACAGUAGAGGUGGGCGGAAUUCGUGGUGUAGCGGUGAAAUGCUUAGAUAUCACGAAGAACUCCGAUUGCGAAGGCAGUUCACUGGACUGCAACUGACACUGAGGCUCGAAAGUGUGGGUAUCAAACAGGAUUAGAUACCCCAGUAGUC